This 228-nucleotide ribosomal RNA is filed under the name uncultured bacterium. RNAcentral describes it as "partial 16S ribosomal RNA". It matches the Rfam family "Bacterial small subunit ribosomal RNA", at positions 118 to 346 of the family's 1533-position model. The record is from RNAcentral.
UGAGGAACAUGACCUUCGGCGGGGAUAGCCGGCCCAACGGCCGGGUAAUACCGCGUACGACCACAUGGGGACAUCCCUGAGUGGUGAAAGCAGCAAUGCGCCGAUGGAGUGCCUCGCGGCCUAUCAGCUAGUUGGUGAGGUAACGGCUCACCAAGGCAACGACGGGUAGCUGGUCUGAGAGGAUGAUCAGCCACAUUGGGACUGAGACACGGCCCAGAUCCUACGGGG